UACGUAGGGUCCAAGCGUUAUCCGGAAUCACUGGGCGUAAAGCGUGCGUAGGCGGCGUGUUAAGUGUGAUGUUAAAUCGUGGGGCUCAACCCUAUCGAUGCAUCGCAUACUGGCAUGCUAGAGGAAGGCAGAGGCAAGUGGAAUUUGUAGUGUAGCAGUGAAAUGCGUAGAUAUUACAAGGAACACCAAUGGCGAAGGCAGCUUGCUGGGCCUUUUCUGACGCUGAGGUACGAAAGCGUGGGGAGCGAACAGG
This 253-nucleotide ribosomal RNA is filed under the name uncultured bacterium. RNAcentral's name for it is "partial 16S ribosomal RNA". It matches the Rfam family "Bacterial small subunit ribosomal RNA", at positions 524 to 776 of the family's 1533-position model. The record is from RNAcentral.